UGCAGAGGGUGCUAGCGUUAAUCGGAUUUACUGGGCGUAAAGCGUGCGUAGGCGGUUUGAUAAGUCGAUUGUGAAAGCCCUGGGCUCAACCUAGGAAUUGCGGUCGAUACUGUCAGACUAGAAAACGGUAGAGGGAGGUGGAACUCCAGGUGUAGCGGUGAAAUGCGUAGAUAUCUGGAAGAACACCGAUGGCGAAGGCAGCCUCCUGGGCCUGUUUUGACGCUGAGGCACGAAAGCGUGGGUAGCAAACAGGAUUAGAUACCCCUGUAGU
This 271-nucleotide ribosomal RNA is filed under the name uncultured bacterium. RNAcentral describes it as "partial 16S ribosomal RNA". It matches the Rfam family "Bacterial small subunit ribosomal RNA", at positions 524 to 794 of the family's 1533-position model. The record is from RNAcentral.